GAUGAACGCUGGCGGCGUGCUUAAUACGUGCAAGUCGAGCGGACGGACGCUACUUUCGCUUUACUCAUGUUAGCAGCGGACGGGUGAGUCACGCGUGGAUUACCUUCCUCUACGACUUGGAUCUCUUCGACUAACCGUAGUUCCUACCAGAUGAUAUUUUUAACCUCAUGGUUCAAAAGUUUAUUCCGUUCUUGCUGUCCCUUCUACAUGUAUCCUCGCUGCUUUAGCUAGUUGGUACGCUAACGGCUUACGGUGGCAACGAUGCAUAGCCGACCUGCGAGGGUGAUCGGGCACACUGGAACUGAGACACGGUACAGAGUCCUACGGGAGGCAGCAGUAGGGAAUGGACCGCGAAGGGCGAAAGACUGAAGGAGCAACGCAGCGUGAGUGAAGAAGGGCUUCGGAGCGGAAAACGCUGUUAGGAGGGAAGAACAUAUGUGUAAGUAACGGUGCACAUCGUGACGGUACCUAAAUAGAAAGCCACGGCUAACUACGUG
Molecule: ribosomal RNA, 497 nt
Filed under: uncultured bacterium
Lineage: Bacteria
Description: partial 16S ribosomal RNA
Rfam family: Bacterial small subunit ribosomal RNA
Source: RNAcentral